UACGUAGGGUGCAAGCGUUGUCCGGAAUUAUUGGGCGUAAAGGGCUCGUAGGCGGUCCGUCACGUCGGCCGUGAAAACCCGGGGCUCAACCCCGGGCCUGCAGUCGAUACGGGCGGACUAGAGUUCGGCAGGGGAGACUGGAAUUCCUGGUGUAGCGGUGAAAUGCGCAGAUAUCAGGAGGAACACCGGUGGCGAAGGCGGGUCUCUGGGCCGAUACUGACGCUGAGGAGCGAAAGCGUGGGGAGCGAACAGG
RNAcentral lists this ribosomal RNA (253 nucleotides) under uncultured bacterium. RNAcentral describes it as "partial 16S ribosomal RNA". It matches the Rfam family "Bacterial small subunit ribosomal RNA", at positions 524 to 776 of the family's 1533-position model. The record is from RNAcentral.